RNAcentral lists this ribosomal RNA (541 nucleotides) under Aspergillus pseudodeflectus. RNAcentral's name for it is "eukaryotic LSU rRNA". The stretch from base 166 to 319 matches the Rfam family "5.8S ribosomal RNA". The record is from RNAcentral. Lineage: Eukaryota; Fungi; Ascomycota; Eurotiomycetes; Eurotiales; Aspergillaceae.
GGAUCAUUACCGAGUGCAGGUCUGCCCCCGGGCAGGCCUAACCUCCCACCCGUGAAUACCUGACCAACGUUGCUUCGGCGGUGCGCCCCCCCGGGGGUAGCCGCCGGAGACCACACCGAACCUCCUGUCUUUAGUGUUGUCUGAGCUUGAUAGCAAACCUAUUAAAACUUUCAACAAUGGAUCUCUUGGUUCCGGCAUCGAUGAAGAACGCAGCGAACUGCGAUAAGUAAUGUGAAUUGCAGAAUUCAGUGAAUCAUCGAGUCUUUGAACGCACAUUGCGCCCCCUGGCAUUCCGGGGGGCAUGCCUGUCCGAGCGUCAUUGCUGCCCUUCAAGCCCGGCUUGUGUGUUGGGUCGUCGUCCCCCCCGGGGGACGGGCCCGAAAGGCAGCGGCGGCACCGCGUCCGGUCCUCGAGCGUAUGGGGCUUUGUCACCCGCUCGAUUAGGGCCGGCCGGGCGCCAGCCGGCGUCUCCAACCUUCUAUUUUACCAGGUUGACCUCGGAUCAGGUAGGGAUACCCGCUGAACUUAAGCAUAUCAAUAA